This 4099-nucleotide long non-coding RNA is filed under the name Canis lupus familiaris (dog). RNAcentral describes it as "lncRNA (ENSCAFG00030016639.1)". The record is from RNAcentral. Lineage: Eukaryota; Metazoa; Chordata; Mammalia; Carnivora; Canidae.
AUGUCAAUGAUUUUAAGAAGAAGCCUGGACUUUCCUCUAUUCUUUCCAAAUCACACCAUUGAGAGACAGAACUGCGGAGAGAAAAAAGAGAAAUGGAGCCAAUGCAGUGAAAUAUUAGCAGUUAGGGAAUCUGGUGAUUUAACAUGGCCCUUUAAAAAAUGCCUUGGAAGACGUGUCCACCAGCUGCUAGAUCAGAUACACGUUUUUCUUCAUCAGCUGAAGCACCAACAUCCUGGUCAAGCAUGGAUCGGGAGCCACUCAGAUCCCUUGGCUUUGUGCUUCCUUUCAGCCCAUAGCCUGUGGCAUUUGCUUCCAAACAUCAACUGAAGCACAGGGAAAUUUGCAGUGUUUUUAACAGUAUGUGCGAAGCUCCAGGUGCCCUGACGGUGUAGCAAAGAACUUAAGAGACUGUUGAGGAAUAAAUGGCAAAGUUGUGGCCUUGGCCAACAGAACACUUGCUCUCAAACUAUGGCCUAAUUCACCAAGAAGCCUCAAGUCAAAGUCAAAAUACAGAAUUUCAGAAUCUUUGAGGAAGGGAGUAGGUGUUUGCUUUCAAAAAAAAUACUUAAUUAGGGAUCCCUGGGUGGCACAGCGGUUUGGCGCCUGCCUUUGGCCUAGGGCGCGAUCCUGGAGACCCGGGAUCGAAUCCCACGUCGGGCUCCCGGUGCAUGGAGCCUGCUUCUCCCUCUGCCUGUGUCUCUGCCUCUCUCUCUCUCUCACUGUGUGCCUUUCAUAAAAAAAAAAAACAAAAACAAAAACAAAAAAAAAAAUACUUAAUUAAAAAAAGUAAUUUGAAAUGAAUCAUAUACAUACCUAUAAAGGCCAAACUAUAAAACUUCUUUUAAAAAACAUAGGUAAAUAUUUUUGUGACCUUAGAAGUAAGCUAAUAUUUUUUAAAGGGCCAAAAAAUGUAUAAACAAAAUAUUAGUAAAUUGGAUUUCAUCAAAACUUAAAAUUUCUACUCCUUAAAAGGUAUCAUUAAAAAAUAAAUAGGUAAAUCACAGAUGAGGAAAAAAAUAUAUUCAUGGUAUCAGUAUAUAGACAGAGUAUAUUUGUAUCCAAAAUAUAAAAAUAUCCCUUAAAAAUCAACAAUAAAAAGAUAACCAAUGAAAAAAUGGGCAGAAGAUUUAAAUAGUCACUUAAAGAAAGAAGAUACAUGAAUGGCCAAUAAGCCCAGGAAAAAGUAGUCAAUGUCAUCAAGGAAAUUCUAAUUAAAACCACAAUGAGACAACAUUUCAUCCACACUAGAAUGGCUUAAUCAAAGACUGGCUACACCAAAUACUGGUGAGGAUGAAAAACAAUUAGAACACUCAUAUGUUGCUGGUAGGUAUGCAAAAUGGUCUAACUAUUUGAAGAACUCUUCGGCAGUUUCUUAUAAAGGUAAAUACAUAUUUACUUAUGAACCAGUAAUUUCACUCCUAGGUGUUUUCCAAAGAGAAGCAAAAUGUAUGUUUACACACACACACACACACACACACAGGCAUACACAUGUGUGUGCUUUAUAAGAAUGUUUAUGGAAACCUUAUUUGUAGCAGCCAGGUACUGGAAACAAUCCCAAAUAUCCAUCAACAGAAAAUUAGAAAAACAAAUUGUGAUGUAUUUAUACAAUGGAAUAUUACUCAGAUAUAAAAAGGAGCAGCUACCUACACAAGCAACAAUGUGCAAGAAUCUCACAGACAUGAUAUUGAGUGAAAGAAACCAGACACAACAGAAUACAGUGUGUUUCCAUUUAAAUGAUAUCUUAGGCAGGUAAAAUUGAUUGAUUGGGAUCAAAGUAGGAAAGCAGAUCUUUCUGGGAAAGAGUGGAAUUGACUAGAAAGGGUGAUGAGGGGAUCUUCUGAGGUCAUGGCAACAUUCUGUAUCUUAUUUGGGUGGUGGUUAAAUAGGUCCAUGAAAUUGUCAAAACUCAAUGAACUAAACUCUUAAUAUUUGUGCAUAUUUGGGUGUGUACAUGAUAUAGCAAUUUUUAAAAUGUGACUUUUAAAAAACUAGAAAGCUACAAGAAACUGGAAGAAAACUUCCUUUAUUUGAUAAAGAGUAUGUUCCUCCAAUACCUAGCAAACAUCAUACUUAACUGAGAAACAUUAGAAGCAUUCCCAUUAAAUUCAGACAUAAAAUAAGCAUUUUUAGUACUACUUCUACUCAACAUUAUCCUGGAAAUGCCUGUCAAAUAAUAUUACAAAAAAAGGGGCACCUGAGUGGCUCAGUCAAUUAAACAUCUGGCUUCAACUCCAGUCAUGACCCCAGGGUCCUGGGAUCGAGUCCCAAAAGGGGACUCACGCUUAAUAGGGAGAGUCUGCUUCUCCCUUUCCCUCUGCAGCUCUCCUUGCUCAAGUGCUCUCUCUCAAAUAAAUAAAUAAAAACCUAAUAAUAAUAAUAAUAACAGUAACAAUAUUCAAAAAAAGAAAUAAGUAUAAAUACUGGAAAAUAAAAGACAAAUUUCCCAUUUGCCAAUGAUUAUCUAACUAAAAAAUUAAAGAGAGUCAGCUGAAAUCCUAUUAGAACUAACAAAUUUUAGCAGGAAGGUCAGAAAUAAGAUCGAUAUACAAAAAAAAAAAAAAACUUCAUCUCUAAUUCCUUAAUAAUUUCAAAGCAUAAUGCAAAACCAUCCCAUUCACAGUAGAAUCAAAACUACAAAAUAGCUAUGAGAAAACUUGUCAAGAAAAGAAAACAAAAUGAAGAAUUAAUAAGAAAGAAGGAUUUUUUUAAAAGACCAAACUAAAUAUAAACACUAACUUUCUAGUUGGAAAAACUCAAAAAUUGAAAAAUUAUCCAUUUUCCCAAUGAAUCUAUCAAUUCAGGAUAAAGAAUUUUAUCCUUAUUCUUCACCAAGAAUUUUGCGACUCUUAAGCUUAAUGCUAAAUUUCAUGUGAUAAAGAAAAUACACAAGAUUAAAAGAAAAUUGUGGAUAGGCCUUGCCCAGAUAGUCUCUGAAAUACUUUGAAGCUAUAGUAAGUAAUUACAUUAAUGUGAUAUGGAUAUAGAAAUAUACAGAUAAAUAAAACAGAAUAAAAAAUCCAGAAACAGACUCACAUAUAAGUAGAACUUCAGUAUAUUCCAUAAACAUGGCAUCAGAAUCAGAAGAUAUGCUCAUUGGACAAAGGACAUUAGAAUAAAUAUCUAUAUUUGGAAAAAAUAAAAUCAAACUAAACCCUUAUUUCAAAUUAUACACUAAAAAUCACAGCAAAUGUAGUGGAGAGCUAAAGGCGAAAAACACAUUUAAAAAUUAGAAUAAAGGCAAAAAAAAUCAGAUUUGUAAUCUUAAAAUUGAAAAGGCCUUCUUAGGUUAUAAAAUACCAGAAUUCAAAAUGGGAAAGAAUGAUUAAUUAAAUAAAUAAAGCUUAAAUUUUUCUUAAUGAUGAAAUUGACCAUAAAUAAAGUAAAAAGACAAUAGUGGUAGAAAAUAAUAGAAUACAAAACAAAUAGAGAAUUAAUACGCAAUCUAUAUAUAGAUCAAAGAUUGUGAAGAGGUAAUUGGUAGAAAAACUAUAAAUGGCUAAUCAAAACCCAUCAAAAGGGGAUCCCUGGGUGGCUCAGCGGUUUAGCGCCUGCCUUUGGCCCAGGGUGUGAUCCUAGAGAUCCAGGAUUGAGUCCCACGUCGGGCUCCCAGGAUGGAGCCUGCUUCUCCCCCUGCCUGUGUCUCUGCCUCUCUCUCCUCUUUCUAUGUCUAUCAUGAAUAAAUAAAUAAAAAUCUUUUUUAAAAACAUCAAAAGUUGGGCAGCCCUAGUGGCCUAGUGGUUUAGCGCCACCUUCAGCCCAGGGCGUGAUCCUGGAGACCCGGGAUCGAGUCUCACGUCGGGCUUCCUGCGUGGAGCCUGCUUCUCCUUCUACCUGUGUCUCUGCCUCUCUCUCUCUCUGUAUUUCUCAUGAAUAAAUAAAUAAAAUAUUUUUAAAAAAUCAAAAGUUGUCUAACCUCACUAGUAAUCAAGGAAAUACAUAUUAAUGUAAUGUUAUAUUUCUUCUAUCAGAUUAAUAAGAAAUUUAAAAGAUUUAUAAUACCUACUACAAGCAAGGAUUCAGGAAAAUAAGCACUGUUAGUAGAUAAAUUGGUAAAUUCUUUAGAAGGGAACUGAGGCAGUUCUUAAUGAAAUUUUAAAUG